RNAcentral lists this ribosomal RNA (310 nucleotides) under uncultured bacterium. Its description in RNAcentral is "bacterial SSU rRNA". It matches the Rfam family "Bacterial small subunit ribosomal RNA", at positions 30 to 334 of the family's 1533-position model. The record is from RNAcentral.
AUUGAACGCUGGCGGUAUGCUUAACACAUGCAAGUCGAACGGCAGCACGAGAGAGCUUGCUCUCUUGGUGGCGAGUGGCGGACGGGUGAGUAACGCGUAGGAAUCUGCCUAGCAGCGGGGGACAACCUGGAGAAAUCCAGGCUAAUACCGCAUACGCCCUACGGGGGAAAGAUGGGGAUCUUCGGACCUGUCACUGCUAGAUGAGCCUGCGUUAGAUUAGCUUGUUGGUGGGGUAAUGGCCUACCAAGGCGACGAUCUAUAACUGGUCUGAGAGGAUGACCAGUCACACUGGGACUGAGACACGGCCCAG